AAAGUCGUAACAAGGUUUCCGUAGGUGAACCUGCGGAAGGAUCAUUAGUGAAUUUAGCGUUUCUCUUAACAGAGCGCGACCCUCCACUUUCUAACUCUGUGAACUAUUUGGUCGUUUGGCGCUGAAGUUACUUUUGUAAUCGAAGCAAUGAACGACGGCUCAUUUUAAACACUAGUACAAGUAUGUAACGAAAUAUCGAAAUAUAAAAAAACUUUCAACAACGGAUCUCUUGGCUCUC
Molecule: unclassified non-coding RNA, 238 nt
Filed under: Basidiomycota sp.
Lineage: Eukaryota; Fungi; Basidiomycota
Description: partial contains small subunit ribosomal RNA, internal transcribed spacer 1, and 5.8S ribosomal RNA
Rfam family: Eukaryotic small subunit ribosomal RNA (bases 1-47)
Source: RNAcentral